RNAcentral lists this transfer RNA (73 nucleotides) under Pseudomonadales bacterium. RNAcentral's name for it is "tRNA-Met". It matches the Rfam family "tRNA". From Rfam's summary of the family: Transfer RNA (tRNA) molecules are approximately 80 nucleotides in length. Their secondary structure includes four short double-helical elements and three loops (D, anti-codon, and T loops). Further hydrogen bonds mediate the characteristic L-shaped molecular structure. tRNAs have two regions of fundamental functional importance: the anti-codon, which is responsible for specific mRNA codon recognition, and the 3' end, to which the tRNAs corresponding amino acid is attached (by aminoacyl-tRNA synthetases). tRNAs cope with the degeneracy of the genetic code in two manners: having more than one tRNA (with a specific anti-codon) for a particular amino acid; and 'wobble' base-pairing, i.e. permitting non-standard base-pairing at the 3rd anti-codon position. Lineage: Bacteria; Pseudomonadati; Pseudomonadota; Gammaproteobacteria; Pseudomonadales. The record is from RNAcentral.
UGCGGAUUAGUUGAGUUGGUAGAAUGCCGGGCUCAUAACCCGAAGGUCAUCGGUUCGAGUCCGAUAUCCGCUA